AUUGAACGCUGGCGGCAGGCCUAACACAUGCAAGUCGAGCGAGCGGCGGACGGGUGAGUAAUGUCUGGGAAACUGCCUGAUGGUGGGGGAUAACUACUGGAAACGGUAGCUAAUACCGCAUACCAUCAGAUGUGCCCAGAUGGGCUUAGCUGGUAGGUGGGGUAACGGCUCACCUAGGCGAAGAUCCCUAGCUGGUCUGAGAGGAUGACCAGCUACACUGGAACUGAGCCACGGGCCGGACUCCUACGGGAGGCGGCAGUGGGGAAUAGUGCACAAGGGGCGCAAGCCUGAUGCAGCCAUGCCGCGUGUGUGAAGGAGGCCUGCGGGUUGUAAAGCACAUUCAGCGGGGAGGCGUUACCCGCAGAAGAAGCACCGGCUAACUCCGUGCCAGCAGCCGCGGUAAUAC
Molecule: ribosomal RNA, 406 nt
Filed under: uncultured bacterium
Lineage: Bacteria
Description: partial 16S ribosomal RNA
Rfam family: Bacterial small subunit ribosomal RNA
Source: RNAcentral